This is a non-coding RNA of Dermacentor andersoni, 1134 nucleotides long. The record is from RefSeq and is a predicted model, not a curated record. NCBI's taxonomy places the organism in Eukaryota, Metazoa, Arthropoda, Arachnida, Ixodida, Ixodidae.
ACAUUCGUCGGCUCACGCUGGGAAGAGUCCUUCCACGUAGUAAUGAGAGGUUACGCCAUAUGUGCGGCGCUGCCGCCUUCGACGCGGUCCUACUCUGUCACAAGGGAAGAUGUUUAAGGGUAGCGGGAAUGGCGAGUAGUAGCGGUUUUAUGUGGGAAAUAAGGCUUCGCGAAGCAAUAUGCGCGCAAAAAUUAUUUCGGUAACAUAUUCCUUGGAAGCUCUUCACUGUUUCCAUUACAUUUUUCAGGUUUGAAAGAAAGGUCGCCCAGGGCCCUCUAACCGAAGGUCUUACAAAUGUUGGAUAAGAAAGUCCUAUGCCACACUGUACAUACAUUGUUACAUAAAGUACAAGUUAUUCACUGGGCAAAACAAAACCGUACCAGUACACGAGUCACUGGGCAGGACUCAGAACUACGUUUUUAAUAAAGCGACACAGCAAACCAUGAGCACAUCGCCAACGUCUUCGAGGAAAAGAAGGAAACACAUGUUCCGAGAAUUGUCUGUGGAGGUAAUAGAAGGAAAGCGACAUCCUUAAAGUUGAAAUUACAAAGGAGCUGCAGAUACCAGUUUUAGGCACAUGGAACAGGCGACAAAUGUACUUGGAGGAGCAGAAGCAGGAAGCUCAACAGUUGAGGCAUUCAAAGAAAAGCCGUGAUGAGUAAAUGGAGAGCUACAGACACAAUAAAAGGAAAUUACAAAUGACUAUUGCUUAUUUGGUGGUGAAAAGCUGAGGCAACAGAUGACAUCCCAUACACUGUCAAACCAAACAGUAUUCAAAAACUGCAAAUGUUGCAGGUCCAAGUAGUUAAUUGUGCUAUUGCAGAAAAACUUUGAGCGCUUUCUUGAAAUGCUUCCUUGUGUGCGUUUAGUGAUGGGCGGUGAAAGGCAAAUUAGCAGUCUUUCAAAUGUUUGAAAUCAGUGAAAUGCGAUUUGUUUUGUAUCCUUUUGUUUGCAUUAAAGUUAACGAUGUUGUUGAACAAGUUAUUGCCUGUCCAAACUACUAAAAAAAUCGCACGAGGUCCUUGAAGUUACUGUGUCGGGGCCUCGAAAGUUCUUGAAAACCAUGGCAUUUUUCUCUUCAAUAUUGCUACGAACCCAGUAGAACAACUGUCAUGGAGUAAAAACCUUGGCUGA